GACGAACGCUGGCGGCGUGCUUAACACAUGCAAGUCGAACGGAAAGGCCCUGCUUUUGUGGGGUGCUCGAGUGGCGAACGGGUGAGUAACACGUGAGUAACCUGCCCUUGACUUUGGGAUAACUUCAGGAAACUGGGGCUAAUACCGGAUAGGAGCUCCUGCUGCAUGGUGGGGGUUGGAAAGUUUCGGCGGUUGGGGAUGGACUCGCGGCUUAUCAGCUUGUUGGUGGGGUAGUGGCUUACCAAGGCUUUGACGGGUAGCCGGCCUGAGAGGGUGACCGGCCACAUUGGGACUGAGAUACGGCCCAGACUCCUACGGGAGGCAGCAGUGGGGAAUAUUGCACAAUGGGCGGAAGCCUGAUGCAGCAACGCCGCGUGCGGGAUGACGGCCUUCGGGUUGUAAACCGCUUUCGCCUGUGACGAAGCGUGAGUGACGGUAAUGGGUAAAGAAGCACCGGCUAACUACGUGCCAGCAGCCGCGGUGAUACGUAGGGUGCGAGCGUUGUCCGGAUUUAUUGGGCGUAAAGGGCUCGUAGGUGGUUGAUCGCGUCGGAAGUGUAAUCUUGGGGCUUAACCCUGAGCGUGCUUUCGAUACGGGUUGACUUGAGGAAGGUAGGGGAGAAUGGAAUUCCUGGUGGAGCGGUGGAAUGCGCAGAUAUCAGGAGGAACACCAGUGGCGAAGGCGGUUCUCUGGGCCUUUCCUGACGCUGAGGAGCGAAAGCGUGGGGAGCGAACAGGCUUAGAUACCCUGGUAGUCCACGCUGUAAACGGUGGGUACUAGGUGUGGGGUCCAUUCCACGGGUUCCGUGCCGUAGCUAACGCUUUAAGUACCCCGCCUGGGGAGUACGGCCGCAAGGCUAAAACUCAAAGGAAUUGACGGGGCCCCGCCCAAGCGGCGGAGCAUGCGGAUUAAUUCGAUGCAACGCGUAGAACCUUACCUGGGUUUGACAUGGAUCGGGAGUGCUCAGAGAUGGGUGUGCCUCUUUUGGGGUCGGUUCACAGGUGGUGCAUGCCUGUCGUCAGCUCGUGUCGUGAGAUGUUGGGUUAAGUCCCGCAACGAGCGCAACCCUUGUUCACUGUUGCCAGCACGUUAUGGUGGGGACUCAGUGGAGACCGCCGGGGUCAACUCGGAGGAAGGUGGGGAUGACGUCAAGUCCUCAUGCCCCUUAUGUCCAGGGCUUCACGCAUGCUACAAUGGCUGGUACAGAGAGUGGCGAGCCUGUGAGGGUGAGCGAAUCUCGGAAAGCCGGUCUCAGUUCGGAUUGGGGUCUGCAACUCGACCUCAUGAAGUCGGAGUCGCUAGUAAUCGCAGAUCAGCAACGCUGCGGUGAAAAAGUUCCCGGGGCU
Molecule: ribosomal RNA, 1346 nt
Filed under: uncultured bacterium
Lineage: Bacteria
Description: bacterial SSU rRNA
Rfam family: Bacterial small subunit ribosomal RNA
Source: RNAcentral